GACGAACGCUGGCGGCGUGCUUAACACAUGCAAGUCGUACGGUAAGGCCCUUUCGGGGGUACACGAGUGGCGCACGGGUGAGUAACACGUGCGUAACCUGCCCACAACUUUGGGAUAACGCUAGGAAACUGGUGCUAAUACUGGAUAUGUGCUCCUGCUGCAUGGUGGGGGUUGGAAAGCUCCGGCGGUUGUGGAUGGACUCGCGGCCUAUCAGCUUGUUGGUGGGGUAGUGGCCUACCAAGGCGGCGACGGGUAGCCGGCCUGAGAGGGUGACCGGCCACAUUGGGACUGAGAUACGGCCCAGACUCCUACGGGAGGCAGCAGUGGGGAAUAUUGCACAAUGGGCGCAAGCCUGAUGCAGCAACGCCGCGUGCGGGAUGACGGCCUUCGGGUUGUAAACCGCUUUCAGCAGGGACGAAGCUUUUUGUGACGGUACCUGCAGAAGAAGCACCGGCUAACUACGUG
Molecule: ribosomal RNA, 465 nt
Filed under: uncultured bacterium
Lineage: Bacteria
Description: partial 16S ribosomal RNA
Rfam family: Bacterial small subunit ribosomal RNA
Source: RNAcentral